RNAcentral lists this ribosomal RNA (374 nucleotides) under uncultured organism. RNAcentral describes it as "partial 16S ribosomal RNA". It matches the Rfam family "Bacterial small subunit ribosomal RNA", at positions 527 to 896 of the family's 1533-position model. The record is from RNAcentral.
GUAGGUGGCAAGCGUUGUCCGGAAUUAUUGGGGCGUAAAGCGCGCGCAGGCGGUUCUUUAAGUCUGAUGUGAAAGCCCACGGGCUCAACCGUGGAGGGUCAUUGGAAACUGGAGAACUUGAGUACAGAAGAGGAAAGCGGAAUUCCACGUGUAGCGGUGAAAUGCGUAGAGAUGUGGAGGAACACCAGUGGCGAAGGCGGCUUUCUGGUCUGUAACUGACGCUGAGACGCGAAAGCGUGGGGAGCAAACAGGAUUAGAUACCCUGGUAGUCCACGCCGUAAACGAUGAGUGCUAAGUGUUAGGGGGUUUCCGCCCCUUAGUGCUGCAGCUAACGCAUUAAGCACUCCGCCUGGGGAAUACGGCCGCAAAGGCUG